UGCGCAGGCGGUUUUGUAAGACAGUGGUGAAAUCCCCGGGCUCAACCUGGGAACUGCCAUUGUGACUGCAAGGCUGGAGUGCGGCAGAGGGGGAUGGAAUUCCGCGUGUAGCAGUGAAAUGCGUAGAUAUGCGGAGGAACACCGAUGGCGAAGGCAAUCCCCUGGGCCGUGCACUGACGCUCAUGCACGAAAGCGUGGGGAGCAAACA
This 208-nucleotide ribosomal RNA is filed under the name uncultured bacterium. Its description in RNAcentral is "partial 16S ribosomal RNA". It matches the Rfam family "Bacterial small subunit ribosomal RNA", at positions 568 to 774 of the family's 1533-position model. The record is from RNAcentral.